CCGUAGCCUGGUAGCGGGGGAUAACUAUUGGAAACGAUAGCUAAUACCGCAUAACAGUAGAUAUUGCAUGAUAUCUGCUUGAAAGGUGCAAAUGCAUCACUACCAGAUGGACCUGCGUUGUAUUAGCUAGUUGGUGGGGUAACGGCUCACCAAGGCGACGAUACAUAGCCGACCUGAGAGGGUGAUCGGCCACACUGGGACUGAGACGCGGCCCAG
This 216-nucleotide ribosomal RNA is filed under the name uncultured Streptococcaceae bacterium. Its description in RNAcentral is "partial 16S ribosomal RNA". It matches the Rfam family "Bacterial small subunit ribosomal RNA", at positions 125 to 334 of the family's 1533-position model. Lineage: Bacteria; Bacillati; Bacillota; Bacilli; Lactobacillales; Streptococcaceae. The record is from RNAcentral.